RNAcentral lists this long non-coding RNA (701 nucleotides) under Physcomitrium patens. Its description in RNAcentral is "long non-coding RNA (PPAT_LNC011325)". The record is from RNAcentral. Lineage: Eukaryota; Viridiplantae; Streptophyta; Bryopsida; Funariales; Funariaceae.
UGAUGAUCCGAGGUUUGACGUUCAAGAUGUGUGUUUUCAAAGCAAGGUGACUUGAGCUGCCUAGGCAGCAGACCCCCUUCUACUUAAAAAUUCACUAAAAAUCAGUUAAUAGUUUAAAAUUGACAAGUAUAAUUUUUCCUAAAACCAAAAAUAAUAGAAUUCUUUUUUCAACAAAUUUCAGAAAAAAAUAAAAAAAUAAAAAAAAUGUAAGUAAGUAUUAAGAUACAAUUUUUCAAAGCUGAUUGUUCAACACUACCAAGGCAGCAGAUUCCUUUGCAUUUAAAAAUUCAUUAAAAAUCUGAUAUAGAUUGGGAAUUAGUGAUUUAAAUUUUUUAGUAAACUAAAUUUUAGAGUGCAUUCAUUUCAAUAAUCCACAACAAAUUUGAGUCAAAGGCCACCGAGUUAUAGAUUUUUUAAGCUGAUGCUCCUACACUGCCAAGGUAGUAGACCCCUACCACCUUGAAAACUCGCCAAAAAUUCAUCACAACUUCAAAUCGGGCCUGCCUUAUGCCAUUACAAAGCUAAGGGUGAGUAGAAUCUGCUUACAAAGUUUCACAAAAAGAAAAUAAAAUGAAAUAUACUGAGCGAGUUAAAAUUGAGGCCAUACAAGUUUAAAGAAGAAAAUUUGCAUUCACAAGAUGGCUGAACAUUUUGCCAUGGCUUCGCCACAAGAAGAUGGAGAGAGAGAGAGGGAGCUCAGU